Caenorhabditis elegans is the source of this 72-nucleotide non-coding RNA. NCBI's taxonomy places the organism in Eukaryota, Metazoa, Nematoda, Chromadorea, Rhabditida, Rhabditidae. The record is from the annotation of a RefSeq genome assembly.
GCACAAGUAGCUCAGUUGGGUAGAGGCUUGGCUAUGGCUCUGGAGGUCGAAGGUUCAAUCCCCGCCGUGGUA